This 520-nucleotide ribosomal RNA is filed under the name uncultured Glomus. RNAcentral describes it as "SSU rRNA". It matches the Rfam family "Eukaryotic small subunit ribosomal RNA", at positions 569 to 1091 of the family's 1831-position model. Lineage: Eukaryota; Fungi; Glomeromycota; Glomeromycetes; Glomerales; Glomeraceae. The record is from RNAcentral.
AGCAGCCGCGGUAAUUCCAGCUCCAAUAGCGUAUAUUAAAGUUGUUGCAGUUAAAAAGCUCGUAGUUGAAUUUCGGGGUUAGUGAGUUGGUCGUGCCUCUGGUAUGCACUGGCUCUACUGAUUCCUCCUUCUUGAAGAACUGUAAUGUCAUUAAUUUGGUGUUGCAGGGAAACAGGACUGUUACUUUGAAAAAAUUAGAGUGUUUAAAGCAGGCAAUCGCUUGAAUACAUUAGCAUGGAAUAAUGAAAUAGGACGUUGAUACUAUUUUGUUGGUUUCUAGGGUUGACGUAAUGAUUAAUAGGGAUAGUUGGGGGCAUUAGUAUUCAAUUGUCAGAGGUGAAAUUCUUGGAUUUAUUGAAGACUAACUACUGCGAAAGCAUUUGCCAAGGAUGUUUUCAUUAAUCAAGAACGAAAGUUAGGGGAUCGAAGACGAUCAGAUACCGUCGUAGUCUUAACCAUAAACUAUGCCGACUAGGGAUCGGAUGAUGUUAAUUUUUAAUGUACUCAUUCGGCGCCUUAC